This is a long non-coding RNA of Mirounga angustirostris (Northern elephant seal), 1723 nucleotides long. RefSeq lists it as uncharacterized. Lineage: Eukaryota; Metazoa; Chordata; Mammalia; Carnivora; Phocidae. The record is from RefSeq and is a predicted model, not a curated record. The transcript is spliced from 2 exons.
CCCUGCCGAGCAGGGAGCCCGAUGUGAGACUCGAUCCUGGGACUCCAGGAUCAUGACCUGAGCCGAAGGCAGUCGCUUAACCAACUGAGCCACCCAGGCGCCCUUUUUUAAAAAUUUUUUAAAGAUUUAUUUAUUUGAGAGAGAGAGACAGCGAGAGAGGGAACACAAGCAGGGGGAGUGGGAGAGGGAGAAGCAGGCCUCUCGCUGAACAGGAGCCCAAUGAGGGGCUUGAUCCCACGACCCUGGGAUCAUGACCUGAGCUGAAGGCAGACGCUUAAUGACUGAGCCACCCAGGCGCCCCAAUAUAUUUUAUUUAAUGCAUACAAACAUUAGUUACAUUUCAUAAUCUGUUUAUAAAAUAUAUGCCAGCCCCCAGAAUGCCAAAUGCUUUCCUGUUAUUUUGUAACUGUGCUGGAAAUUAUCUUCCUUGCUAAACGUAACACAUAUUCUCUGAGAACUGCUCCCUUCCACUUUCACUUUGGAGAACCUCAGUGGUUUACUUUUGUACUGCAGAACCUGCCCUCUUUCUCCAUACUUCAUGAUUGGAUCAAGGAUGGACACCUACUCUAUAUAGUGCUAAACCCAGUAACAGGUAAAUUUGGAGUAAUGUGAGUGGCCCUCUUUGAAUAGGUGCAUAUACAAAAGUUCUCAAGUUUUAGUUUGUCUCUAAACAUAGAAUGAAGCCUCAGCUGUAUAAAGAAAAUCAGCAAUGAGAAAGAUGAAGAGAAUGAAGAAUUUUUAACAACUUUCUAGGGGUGACUGGCUGGAAGAAACAAACUGGUUCUUAAAACAUCUGCAUCAAAUAAGGAAGAAGUCAUAAUACUUCAAAAUGAAAGCGAGUAAUUACAGUCUUUUGAGUUCAAAAGAUCAAGAGAGAAUUGAAUGACUUACGGAAUAGUCUAAUUUUUCAGGACUCAGAUCAGAGCUAUCUCCUUUUUUUUUUUUUUUUUAAGAUUUUAUUUAUUUAUUUGACAGAGUGAGAGAUCAUGAGAGCAGGAACACAAGCAGGGGGAGUGGGAGAGGGAGAAGCAGGCUUCCUGCCUAGCAGGGAGCCCGAUAUGGGGCUUGAUCCCAGGACCCCGGGAUCAUGACCUGAGCCAAAGGCAGACACUUAACGACUAGCCACCCAGGAGAGCUAUCUCCUGUCAAGGUUAUGUUAAGUCAGGUACCCUCAUGCCACUCUUGGCACCUCUGUCUUACUGCAUUUGUCUCAGGGUAUGGAAAUUAUUUUUACUUUUAUUUUUCCUAUAGCCUCUUAAGAAAUAUCAUAAUUAGAUUGCAUGUGUUAUACACAGUAAGCUUUUUUCCUAAAACAAAACUCUACUUUAACCUGUAGGUUUGCUUUCUAUACCUGGACACAGUUUUGUAAAACUUUUAUCUUUUGAAAACAGUCCCAAACUAAUCCCAAAUCCUCCAGGUUCUCUUCUAACCCUCCAUUUUCAUGUAUUCUCUUUUUUUCCACUAUAUUUACUCUGCCUUUCUCACUUAAAAUCUUACUGUCUUUUAUGUAGGUGGUCAAGGAAAGACUGAGAAGUAGAUGAGGCCCGAAUUCUUAGGAAGGUAUAGAGGCUAGAUGCCAGAGAACAGUUAGGCGUUAACUGUUUUUUUCCCCCCCAUUUCAUCAUUCUCUGCAAGUAGACAUUAUCAUUAUUUUAUCAAACUAGCCUAGCAUAAUGGUUGUCAUUUGGUAGGUAUUCAGUAAAUAUCUUUUUGUUGUUUGAUU